ACCCUGGAGUGGCCGGGUCAGGACGCAUAGCCCUCCUCUUGGCGCUGCCUUCGCCCCCCACCUCCGAGUGCCCCCACUUGCCCUGGUCCCGGGGUUCCCAUGUACAGGGGGAUACGAGUUCCUCCUGGGAUCAGCGCUCUGUUCACUGCCCCCUCAAAAAAAAGCCUGGGCUCCUGGUGCGGCUGCACCCGACUCGCAGCAGCGCACCCCUCCUCUUGCUGACGCCCCAGGGCCCGGGAGAGACCGGCGACGGGGAGCGCAGGCGACGCCCGGCGCCGGGAUGCUCCAGCGUGCCUCCGGGUGCGCGGGGUGCGCAGGGGGGCCCCGGCGCCCUGCGCGGUCAGCGGUGGUGGGCAGGGGUGCCUGGCGUGCUCCGGUCGCCCGGCGCCCGCGCUACCUCGGGGAGACCUCUGCCGCCGCCCGAGCGCGCAUCCCGGCCCGGGGGCGCUCCCUGCCGGCCGCCGCGCGCACCAGCCAGGCUGAGCCCCGGCAGCAGAGCUGCGGGCGCCUCUGUCCCCCCACCCCCAGGGCGGGCCAGGCCUCCGGUGCUGCGGCUCCAUCACCCACGCCCUCGGGGCUGAGCUGCCUCACUGCGCAGGCGCGGAGGUGCGCACCUGCUCCUUUGAGACGCUCACCUGUCCUUGUUCUUACCGGCAGGAGGGGAACCAGCGCCGGGACCAUCAGCCCAUAAGGGAAAGGGCCCUUGCCAGCCACCUGCCCUUAACUCCUGGGAGCGGGCAGGGAGGGCUGCGGGAGGCUGUCCCUUCAGACCCAGACCAUGGGAGAGGGGAGCCCCACUGAGUAUGCCACACAGCAUCGACACACAAGCGCCUCCAUGCUGGAAUCUCAGAGUCCAGGAGCCUUGCAUCUCCAUAGAGCGGGGACCCCACGAGGAACCUGGCCAGGUUCAUUUAUUUCCUUGCACUAAAUUCUCAAACCCCAGCAGGGCUGGAAGGUCUAGGACCCUUAACCAGGCUGGAGAGCUUCUAGAGGCGCAGAAAGAAGCUCAGAGUCCCAGUGGAGGCAGCUGCAGGAGUUUGCUGGAAACAUCUGGAAGGAUAUCUGGUGUGAUGGGGAGGGACAGGAGCCUGCGCCUGUAUCGGCAAGAGCAGGCGAGGGGUGGCAAAGGCAGAGCCUCAGGUGGGGAGUCCCCGCCACCAGCCCAGAGCCUCGACCCUCACUCUUCUGUGGCUGCAGAGACAGCAGGUGUCCAGCCACGACAAUUGUCAGGGGCUCUAAGAAGUUGGCCAGCAUCCGCACUGCAUCCCAAGGGAAGAGAAAUGGAUGUGCACCCAGCUUUAUGUGCCAGGGUGUCCAUCACAGAACUGUGCACGAUACCAAAACACUGGGGUCAGUGCCCGUGUCCGGUCAGAGAGGAAUGAUGAGCCCCCAUGGAUGGCAGCAUGCCAAGCUUCCUUGUCCUUCAUCAUCUCCCAGAGUUGGUGAUGCCAUCCAGCCAUCUCAUCCUCUGUUAUUCUCUUCUCCUCCUGCCUUCAAUCUUUUCCAGCAUCGGGGUCUUCUUUUAAGGAGUCAGCUCUUUGCAUGAGGUGGCCAAAGUAUCGGAGCUUCAGCUUCAGCCUCAGUCCUGCCAAUUCACGUUCACUUGAUUUCCUUUAGGAUGGACGGGUAGCAGGACGCAAACCCAGCCCCACAGGUGCACACCAGCCUCCCUCUCUCUCCGUGUUUGUGGGUGCUUUCCUUUCUCAUCUGCUAGAAUUACACAAGAAGCAGGUGUGGUUCUGGUUGAAACAGACUCACCAGAUUUUACAAGAAAGAAACAAAGACCCUCCACAAAGACACAGUCCUCCCUUAAAGCAUAAAGCUUUGUGGAGGUCUCCUUGGUGACUUCUCCAGUCUGGAUGGUCUCGUUGUAUGAGACAGUCUCCGGCAGGUACCAAGAGAAAUGGGCACACAGCUCCGUCAGACUGGAAGCAAAGUGAUGGGGAGACGAGACUGCCCGGGUCCACACCGCACAGUGCGCUUGGCCCGCCAUAAAACAUAUCCAC
Molecule: long non-coding RNA, 2006 nt
Organism: Bos taurus (domestic cattle)
Lineage: Eukaryota; Metazoa; Chordata; Mammalia; Artiodactyla; Bovidae
Source: Ensembl